This is a non-coding RNA of Oryza barthii, 205 nucleotides long. The record is from Rfam. Lineage: Eukaryota; Viridiplantae; Streptophyta; Magnoliopsida; Poales; Poaceae.
AAAAAGGCAAAACCCGGGUUUCCGUGUCCAACUUUAACUGUCCGUCUUAUAUGAAAAUUUUUUAUAAUUCGUAUUUUCAUUGUUAUUAGAUGAUAAAACAUGAUUAAUAUUUUAUGUGUGACUUGUCUUUUUAAUUUUUUUUAUAAUUUUUUUAAAUAAGAUGAACGGUUAAACGGUGGGCACGGAAACUAGGGUUUGUCUUUUU